RNAcentral lists this ribosomal RNA (253 nucleotides) under uncultured bacterium. RNAcentral describes it as "partial 16S ribosomal RNA". It matches the Rfam family "Bacterial small subunit ribosomal RNA", at positions 524 to 776 of the family's 1533-position model. The record is from RNAcentral.
UACAGAGACUGCAAGCGUUAUUCGGAUUCACUGGGCGUAAAGGGCGCGCAGGCGGCCAAGUGUGUUAGGCGUGAAAGCCUGAGGCUUAACCUCAGAAUUGCACCUAAAACUACAUGGCUAGAGCAUUGGAGAGGGUAGCGGAAUUCACGGUGUAGCAGUGAAAUGCGUAGAUAUCGUGAGGAACACCAGAGGCGAAGGCGGCUGCCUGGACAAUUGCUGACGCUCAGGCACGAAAGCGUGGGGAGCAAAAGGG